AGCGUACACGGUGGAUGCCCUGGCAGUCAGAGGCGAUGAAGGACGUGCUAAUCUGCGAUAAGCGUCGGUAAGGUGAUAUGAACCGUUAUAACCGGCGAUUUCCGAAUGGGGAAACCCAGUGUGAUUCGUCACACUAUCAUUAACUGAAUCCAUAGGUUAAUGAGGCGAACCGGGGGAACUGAAACAUCUAAGUACCCCGAGGAAAAGAAAUCAACCGAGAUUCCCCCAGUAGCGGCGAGCGAACGGGGAGCAGCCCAGAGCCUGAAUCAGUGUGUGUGUUAGUGGAAGCGUCUGGAAAGGCGCGCGAUACAGGGUGACAGCCCCGUACACAAAAAUGCACAUACUGUGAGCUCGAUGAGUAGGGCGGGACACGUGGUAUCCUGUCUGAAUAUGGGGGGACCAUCCUCCAAGGCUAAAUACUCCUGACUGACCGAUAGUGAACCAGUACCGUGAGGGAAAGGCGAAAAGAACCCCGGCGAGGGGAGUGAAAAAGAACCUGAAACCGUGUACGUACAAGCAGUGGGAGCACAGAGCAAUCUGUGUGACUGCGUACCUUUUGUAUAAUGGGUCAGCGACUUAUAUUCUGUAGCAAGGUUAACCGAAUAGGGGAGCCGAAGGGAAACCGAGUCUUAACUGGGCGUUAAGUUGCAGGGUAUAGACCCGAAACCCGGUGAUCUAGCCAUGGGCAGGUUGAAGGUUGGGUAACACUAACUGGAGGACCGAACCGACUAAUGUUGAAAAAUUAGCGGAUGACUUGUGGCUGGGGGUGAAAGGCCAAUCAAACCGGGAGAUAGCUGGUUCUCCCCGAAAGCUAUUUAGGUAGCGCCUCGUGAAUUCAUCUCCGGGGGUAGAGCACUGUUUCGGCAAGGGGGUCAUCCCGACUUACCAACCCGAUGCAAACUGCGAAUACCGGAGAAUGUUAUCACGGGAGACACACGGCGGGUGCUAACGUCCGUCGUGAAGAGGGAAACAACCCAGACCGCCAGCUAAGGUCCCAAAGUCAUGGUUAAGUGGGAAACGAUGUGGGAAGGCCCAGACAGCCAGGAUGUUGGCUUAGAAGCAGCCAUCAUUUAAAGAAAGCGUAAUAGCUCACUGGUCGAGUCGGCCUGCGCGGAAGAUGUAACGGGGCUAAACCAUGCACCGAAGCUGCGGCAGCGACGCUUAUGCGUUGUUGGGUAGGGGAGCGUUCUGUAAGCCUGUGAAGGUGUACUGUGAGGUAUGCUGGAGGUAUCAGAAGUGCGAAUGCUGACAUAAGUAACGAUAAAGCGGGUGAAAAGCCCGCUCGCCGGAAGACCAAGGGUUCCUGUCCAACGUUAAUCGGGGCAGGGUGAGUCGACCCCUAAGGCGAGGCCGAAAGGCGUAGUCGAUGGGAAACAGGUUAAUAUUCCUGUACUUGGUGUUACUGCGAAGGGGGGACGGAGAAGGCUAUGUUGGCCGGGCGACGGUUGUCCCGGUUUAAGCGUGUAGGCUGGUUUUCCAGGCAAAUCCGGAAAAUCAAGGCUGAGGCGUGAUGACGAGGCACUACGGUGCUGAAGCAACAAAUGCCCUGCUUCCAGGAAAAGCCUCUAAGCAUCAGGUAACAUCAAAUCGUACCCCAAACCGACACAGGUGGUCAGGUAGAGAAUACCAAGGCGCUUGAGAGAACUCGGGUGAAGGAACUAGGCAAAAUGGUGCCGUAACUUCGGGAGAAGGCACGCUGAUAUGUAGGUGAAGUCCCUCGCGGAUGGAGCUGAAAUCAGUCGAAGAUACCAGCUGGCUGCAACUGUUUAUUAAAAACACAGCACUGUGCAAACACGAAAGUGGACGUAUACGGUGUGACGCCUGCCCGGUGCCGGAAGGUUAAUUGAUGGGGUCAGCGCAAGCGAAGCUCUUGAUCGAAGCCCCGGUAAACGGCGGCCGUAACUAUAACGGUCCUAAGGUAGCGAAAUUCCUUGUCGGGUAAGUUCCGACCUGCACGAAUGGCGUAAUGAUGGCCAGGCUGUCUCCACCCGAGACUCAGUGAAAUUGAACUCGCUGUGAAGAUGCAGUGUACCCGCGGCAAGACGGAAAGACCCCGUGAACCUUUACUAUAGCUUGACACUGAACAUUGAGCCUUGAUGUGUAGGAUAGGUGGGAGGCUUUGAAGUGUGGACGCCAGUCUGCAUGGAGCCGACCUUGAAAUACCACCCUUUAAUGUUUGAUGUUCUAACGUGGACCCGUAAUCCGGGUUGCGGACAGUGUCUGGUGGGUAGUUUGACUGGGGCGGUCUCCUCCUAAAGAGUAACGGAGGAGCACGAAGGUUGGCUAAUCCUGGUCGGACAUCAGGAGGUUAGUGCAAUGGCAUAAGCCAGCUUGACUGCGAGCGUGACGGCGCGAGCAGGUGCGAAAGCAGGUCAUAGUGAUCCGGUGGUUCUGAAUGGAAGGGCCAUCGCUCAACGGAUAAAAGGUACUCCGGGGAUAACAGGCUGAUACCGCCCAAGAGUUCAUAUCGACGGCGGUGUUUGGCACCUCGAUGUCGGCUCAUCACAUCCUGGGGCUGAAGUAGGUCCCAAGGGUAUGGCUGUUCGCCAUUUAAAGUGGUACGCGAGCUGGGUUUAGAACGUCGUGAGACAGUUCGGUCCCUAUCUGCCGUGGGCGCUGGAGAAUUGAGGGGGGCUGCUCCUAGUACGAGAGGACCGGAGUGGACGCAUCACUGGUGUUCGGGUUGUCAUGCCAAUGGCACUGCCCGGUAGCUAAAUGCGGAAGAGAUAAGUGCUGAAAGCAUCUAAGCACGAAACUUGCCCCGAGAUGAGUUCUCCCUGACUCCUUGA
RNAcentral lists this ribosomal RNA (2789 nucleotides) under Escherichia coli. RNAcentral's name for it is "bacterial LSU rRNA". It matches the Rfam family "Bacterial large subunit ribosomal RNA". Lineage: Bacteria; Pseudomonadati; Pseudomonadota; Gammaproteobacteria; Enterobacterales; Enterobacteriaceae. The record is from RNAcentral.